RNAcentral lists this transfer RNA (175 nucleotides) under Pyrolobus fumarii 1A. It matches the Rfam family "tRNA". Rfam says of the family: Transfer RNA (tRNA) molecules are approximately 80 nucleotides in length. The record is from Rfam by way of RNAcentral. Lineage: Archaea; Thermoproteati; Thermoproteota; Thermoprotei; Desulfurococcales; Pyrodictiaceae.
CCCGCCGUAGCUCAGCGGUAGAGCGCCCGGCUGUAGGGGGGAACCCGCAUCCCCCUAACCCCCCACGCGCCCAACCGGCGGCGAGAAGCCGCCGGGGAUGAGGGCGCGGCGGCAAAGGGGGAUGCGGGGCCGGGCAGAAACCGGGAGGUCCGGGGUUCGAAUCCCCGCGGCGGGA